UACAGAGGUCUCAAGCGUUGUUCGGAUUCAUUGGGCGUAAAGGGUGCGUAGGCGGCGCGGUAAGUCGGGUGUGAAAUCUCGGGGCUCAACCCCGAAACUGCACUUGAUACUGCCUUGCUCGAGUACUGGAGAGGAGACUGGAAUUUACGGUGUAGCAGUGAAAUGCGUAGAUAUCGUAAGGAAGACCAGUGGCGAAGGCGGGUCUCUGGACAGUUCCUGACGCUGAGGCACGAAGGUCAGGGGAGCAAACGGG
RNAcentral lists this ribosomal RNA (253 nucleotides) under uncultured bacterium. Its description in RNAcentral is "partial 16S ribosomal RNA". It matches the Rfam family "Bacterial small subunit ribosomal RNA", at positions 524 to 776 of the family's 1533-position model. The record is from RNAcentral.